Non-coding RNA from Nemania sp. FL0916, 107 nucleotides. Lineage: Eukaryota; Fungi; Ascomycota; Sordariomycetes; Xylariales; Xylariaceae. The record is from the annotation of a GenBank genome assembly.
GGUCCCAUAACUCAGUUGGUUAGAGUGUCGUACUAAUAGUAUAGGGUCAUCUGCCCCAUAACAUUAAGUAAAUGCGAAAGUCGUGAGUUCAAGCCUCACUGGGACCA